GUUCAGUAGGCGAAUGCUGUGGUAAAGUAUGUGUGUUUCUUUCUGUUCAAUAGAUAGAACUUCAAUCCCCUGUAGGAGAAAUUUGUUAAUGUUUGUCCCUGUAAAACAAUGGUAAAAAAAAAAAAAGCCAAACCGUCCAAUCUGAAGGCUCUACUUAACCUCUCACUUCCACCAAUGCAAAGCGAACAGAACUGAGUAGGGGAGGGCGUAGCCUAACUAGUUUGAUUUUGAACGACCCAGAGAAACUCAACGCAAAUUCAAUGUGAACAUGCAUGAGGCUUUAAUAAAAUCCCGGACGAUUUUGAAAUUCCGCCUAAAAAAGAGGGCGUGUCCGGGCAAAAGAAGACGUCUGGUUGAUUCCUACCUGUUCCACUGUUAAAUAGCGGCCCAUAUUGGUGGGCGCUAUCCUUGUAAUUUCUCUGCGUGAGAAAUACGAAGUGUGGCGUGUGAGCGUGUGCAUGGGUGAGUUGCGUGCGUCUCACGCCGAAUGCGUGAGACUUGAGAGCCCUGAUUUAACUAUAAUGUAAAAUGAUGUUCAAUAUGGUUUAGAGUUGAGUCUAGAGCAGGUUCUGUUGCAUGACGAGGUUACAUCUAGGUAGAGUUCCCCAUCUAUACGCUACCGUCGUGGGUUCUAAACAAAAAAAAGCCAACGUAAGGCCCUCUUGAAAGGUUACACAAAUAUAUCUAUGUUAUGCUUACCUUAUGGUGCUCAUUGCCUCGGAGGUGUGUCUUAAAUUGAAUGAUAUUGGGAAAGUUUUCGAGGCAGACCUGGAACCGACAACAUUAACCCAUCAACAUAAACCCUCACAACAUGAAACGGUCACGCUAACCCGCAUAUGUUGGCAACUUGGCACACAUUUCACCUACUCACCUGGCAUCCGAUCCGGUCCAGUUUGGGGAAGGACAUGGUCACCUUCAGAGGGCGCCUGGUUUUCUGGUUCGGGCUCAGCAGCGUGCUCGGGGAGGGGGAUGAAACAGCCGUCUCCCCGACUCGAGAGGAUUCCAGAGAUCUAAGAAACGGAAGGUGGUCUACGUCAACACACAUUUCGAAGGCAUGAAAACACAGGAACUGAUAAAUCGAUGAAAGAUUAUUUUCUGUAUAUUUUGAUGUUACCUUAUGAAGAAAAAAUUACUUUGAAAGUUAUGGAACCAGAUGUUGAAUUCCUCCAGGUUACUUAUGUGCUUUAUUUUUGGGGUCUCCUGGCGAUUAUUUGGUGUAACUGCGUCCUUUGUGACUACAAUGUUCAGCGCAAGGUCCCUCGAUUUCCGUUUAUACACUGGUCAGCAAGAUUUUCUCGCCUAAUUUCUACAAAAAUCUGCAUGUUUUCUACAUGCUAGACUAGUUAAAAGGUGGUAAUUCUGAUUCUACGUGCUGCUAGCUGCUCGAAUUAAUAAAUCCCCCAGCAGCAGGUGCUGCACCCUACAGAGAUGUCAUCCUCGGUCACCGCUUCAUUCUGAAUACAUUUGAACACUACACACAUUUGAGAGCAUGAGGAAUCGAGGAGUCCGGAGCAAGUAUGACAUCAGACUUUAUUGAUGAACAAGCAACCGAAAAGCCGAGUAGUUUGCAAAGCACUGUGGAUGUGUCCGACCCCUGUCUUUAUCCUCACACUCUAAGCUGUCCCCCAUAUUGUGUGCCCGCCCACAGCAUGGAUUGUUCUCCUGUCAUGGUAAGGCCGGUCACGGUCAGUCAUACAUUUCUUUAAUUAUGUGGUCAACAUCCUCAGCCAAUCUAAUUAAAACAUCAGGUUGAUGCUUAUCUAAACAUUAGGUUAACUAAUCUAAACAAUAGUUUGAGCUAAUCUAAACAUCUGGUUGAGGCCAAUCUAAAUCCCCACCUUUAUUAGCACAUUCUUCGCACCGUGAUUUAAUUUCCUUAAAUAUUGCGCGCAUUUUAGGUACCUUAAUGUGAGCUUUUAUGAACCAUUUCUCAGUUCUUUUAAAUCCUACAUGCCCCAGUGCGCAAUGCAUUGCUCGCAGUUGGUCAAAAGCCCCAUCCCCCCGGAAUGAUGAUCUUACCCGUUUUUGACCAUUCUUUUGGAUGCAUAAGCAACAUAUUCCCUGUGACCACCCUUGCCUGCCGAGGGAAAUCUCUUCUGGUCACUGACAAUUCGUCAGCCAUGCGAUUCCCUUCACAUUCCUGCGUUUGUUCACCUGUAUGGGCGGGUACGUGAUUUAAUUUAUCACACUUUUUCUUGUGUAAUUCCUCUAUUGUUUUCCAUAAACUGGUUUGAGUAAGCUUCCUUUGUGGUUCUGCCAUUCUCUUACCACCCAGUGACUCAGACUGUCUGAGUUACUGUUCACCAACGAACUGUCAGACCAUAUGUAAGCCUUUUUCUGUUUCUUUGUAUCCAUCCAUGCCAGAGCUUCUGUGGUAGAAGCCGAAUUCUAUCACUUCAUCUAAAUAAGAGAGUAGGAGGAAUCAAGGAGUCCGGAGCAAGAAGGACAGAAGACCCUAUUGUCAACCGUGAACAAGCAGCCACAAGGCCGAGUGAUUUACAUUUGGAUGUUUACGAGGACCCCUGCGCUUUUAUACCCAUCCCAAGCUUUUUAUGCUCUUGUUCCCAGUACGGUUUUCAGCUGUUCACAGACGAGGUGACGGAGGUGCUCGGCCCUUAACCAGUCCAACCCAUUUUCUCAACAAAUGUUCCUUUGUUAUACAUCUCUGGGUACUUUUCCUAUUUCACCCUCAGGGCGGCACAUGAUACGUGAGCUGAUGUAACAGCCAUCACAUGUUUAAAAUGUGUUUGUGUUCUCCUUAGGAUCACACUUAUGUGAUGUGCCACACAGAAUAGCAUCUUUAAUAGCCACACAACAAAGUUGGUGGUAUUUUUUGUAGCUCCUUCCGGUGGGGGGAGGGAAUAAAUUUGAAUAAAAAUAUUAGUAGAGUUGUAAAGCUUCAGGAGUCUAAUUGCUGAAGGGUGGAAGCUGUUGCUGAAGCGCGUCGUUCCAGUCUUCAGAGAUCUAUAGCGUC
Molecule: long non-coding RNA, 2974 nt
Filed under: Gadus morhua (Atlantic cod)
Lineage: Eukaryota; Metazoa; Chordata; Actinopteri; Gadiformes; Gadidae
Description: lncRNA (ENSGMOG00000030419.1)
Source: RNAcentral